UGGGGAAUUUUGCGCAAUGGGCGAAAGCCUGACGCAGCAACGCCGCGUGGAGGAUGAAGGUCUUCGGAUCGUAAACUCCUGUCAGUGGGGACGAAAGCUCCGAAAGGAGUUUGACUGUACCCGCUGAGGAAGCCACGGCUAACUCCGUGCCAGCAGCCGCGGUAAUACGGAGGUGGCAAGCGUUGUUCGGAAUUACUGGGCGUAAAGGGCGCGUAGGCGGCUUGGCAAGUCAGAUGUGAAAGCCCCGGGCUUAACCCGGGAAUUGCAUCUGAAACUGCUUUGCUUGAGUCCCGGAGGGGGUAGUGGAAUUCCCAGUGUAGCGGUGAAAUGCGUAGAUAUUGGGAGGAACACCUGUGGCGAAGGCGGCUACCUGGACGGUGACUGACGCUGAGGCGCGAAAGCUAGGGUAGCAAACGGGAUUAGAUACCCCGGUAGUCCUAGCCGUAAACGAUGAGCACUUGGUGUCGGGGGUAUUGAGUCCCCCGGUGCCGGAGUAAACACGUUAAGUGCUCCGCCUGGGGAGUACGGUCGCAAGACUG
Molecule: ribosomal RNA, 539 nt
Filed under: uncultured bacterium
Lineage: Bacteria
Description: bacterial SSU rRNA
Rfam family: Bacterial small subunit ribosomal RNA
Source: RNAcentral